CUACUGGGGUUUCUAAUCCUGUUCGCUACCCACGCUUUCGCUCCUCAGCGUCAGUUACUACCCAGAGACCCGCCUUCGCCACCGGUGUUCCUCCUGAUAUCUGCGCAUUUCACCGCUACACCAGGAAUUCCAGUCUCCCCUGUAGUACUCAAGUCUGCCCGUAUCGCCUGCACGCCUGCAAUUGAGUUGCAGAAUUUCACAGACGACGCGACAAACCGCCUACGAGCUCUUUACGCCCAGUAAUUCCGGACAACGCUCGCACCCUACGUAUUACCGCGGCUGCUGGCAC
RNAcentral lists this ribosomal RNA (289 nucleotides) under uncultured Gordonia sp. RNAcentral's name for it is "partial 16S ribosomal RNA". The record is from RNAcentral. Lineage: Bacteria; Bacillati; Actinomycetota; Actinomycetes; Mycobacteriales; Gordoniaceae.